GUUUUCUUUCUGAAAGCUAUCUAGAAACAGGUUUUUGUUUUCUUUCUGAAAGCUAUCUAGAAACAGGUUUUUGUUUUCUUUCUGAAAGCUAUCUAGAAACAGGCUUUUGUUUUCUUUCUGAAAGCUAUCUAGAAACAGGCUUUUGUUUUCUUUCUGAAAGCUAUCUAGAAACAGUUGUUUUUUUUGGAAAGUCUAUGUUCUAAAAAAACAAAACAAGUAUUAUCAGUAUUUGCAGAUACGGAAGACUGGGGGUUCAGGGGGGAUUGUGUUUUGGUUAAAUCAAUACAUUUGGAUGCACUUCAGACACAACAGAUUGAGCGUAAACAACUUUGCUCAGAUAACAAGGAUUUGCCCAGUGAUGUAUAUUCACAGGUGGAUAUUUUAACGAUGUUCCAUAAAAUGUUUCAUGUUGGAUUAUAAUUAUAAUUCCUUAUUUUCCUGAGACUGAAAGUAGAUCCUUGUUUGACUAUAGUAGAUUGCCAUGAUAAGAUCCCUAUAUAGGAUCAGCCUUAUAGGAUCUUACACCACAGCUCUUUGGGACACGGGAAUGGGCAUUCCAUUGUACUGGUACAGUAGUAUUCCGAUCUGCAUGUCCCUAUGUGUUCAAACCAAACACCUUCCAGAAGAUUCAACUAUGCAUUGAAUUAGUGUCGCAACGAGGAUGACCACCUUAAAAAAAAUACAGGUCGACAAAUGCCCUCGUAGCGUUUACCUGAUGUGGUAUCUAAAAACUAGAAAUAUUAUUUUGUAAGCGUAGUUAAAUGGUAAGAUUUGAAUCUUUCACUGUUUCUAUGACAUGAGCAUGAACUCUAUUUGCAAAGUAGCACCGAGGAUGAGGGGCAUGUUAUAGUACUAUCAGCCCUAUUUUUCUGGCUUCUUGGCAUAGUAGGCGCUGCCCCCCUUUUAAAACUACCCAGAUGGGUAUAGAGACCCUCCUGCUGCCCACCCAUGCACCUCUAUCCCCUCCUCAACCAGAUGAUGUGCCCUCCCCUCACUGGUUAUCCCACUUUGAGAGCCAGACCAUAGAGAUGCACUGUUCUUACUAUAAAGAUGAGACGUAGGGUCAAAAUAACUUCAAAGUCGAGAUCUUUCACGGCGUGCUUAGGAGUUAGACACUUCUUAGGCCGCUAGAGUCUAGAUUGAGUGUUCAUCCCUUGCUACCUACCCUGAAGUGCUGAUGACUAUAUUUCUUGACGUGGGAAGUGUUUUUUGAUGACUCAGCAGUAUAAGAUAAGUAUGAAGUCUUUUCUUUGCCGCCAGUCCAUCCAUCUGUCCGGCAACUAGCUGGACACCACUGCAUGAAGAGGCAGCUUGCAGGCUGGGUUCAAGGGGGAGUGGAGAGCGGUGGGCUGAGUGGUACGACGUCUGGGUUUGUACAAUUAGAUUGACGGGGAGAGGGGGCAAUGACCUUGGCUCUACUCACUGAAUGUACACAGGCCCUACUGUUGACCCUCCCUCCUAGUCCACCCCGAAACGUCCUCGAAUGCACUGACCCAGGUUAGUGGUCAACAGAGCCAAGCACAUCCCUCCAUGUCACAGAGGAGAUACCACUUCAGAAGCAGGGAGGAGGGACAGAGUUAGCUCUUCGCUGUAUCUAUCCCCUCAGUGUAAAUGCAUUCUGGCAACGCUAACCUCAGACUCUCCCCUUGCUUCCAUCCCUCCAUCCCCUGGUCCUGUGAAGGCUCUCCCCUUGCUCCCAUCCCUCCACCCCCUGGUCCUGUGAAGGCUCUCCCCUUGCUCCCAUCCCUCCACCCCCUGGUCCUGUGAGGGCUCUUCCCCUCUGUAAAUAAACACUAGUCCUGUCGAUGAUAUGAGCCAAUUGUUUGUAUAGUACGGACCACAUCCAGAAUUUUCAAACUAAAAGUCCUCUCUCCUCAAGGCGUGGCUUACUGGAAUGUGUUGUAUUUGUUUUUCAAGAAAAAUAAGAAAACCACAAUGGGGGAAAAAAAAAUGUUCUUCAACCGUUUGUGUUGCAAUGUAGUAACUAAGCACCAUGAAGGCCAACUAACUAACUCUUCAGUGUAAAUAUAAAGAAAGUUGCUAAUAACUUUAGACGAUAAGUAAACAGAGUGACACACACGUAGACUAGUUAACUUGUGAUAUGUGUUGCGCAUAUUAGUGUUCAUUUUCUCUCUCUCUAUUUUACUACCCUGUAAAAGAAACGAAACAAAAAAAAUAUAUAUUGAAAAAAAUGUUUCUAUCCUUCUGUACCUUUUUUUUCUGUGCUUUAUCUUGUGCAUUUGCGCAAGAAUGCCUCUCUGUCCAUAUGAGCAAAUUAUUAUAAAUAUUAUGUGUGUGUGUGUACGUCCGUCCGCUGCUGAAUUAAUCCUCUCUCGUGCUGUAAUAUCUUUCUUAUGAAAUGCUUAGACCUCCUACGCUCCUCCCGGUGUUUAGUCUCUUCAUUUUUAUGCUAAUAUUUAUAUUGCUGUUUUAUUUUCUCUUGAACACUGACAUUUCAAAUAAAAGGCUCUGAAAUCA
Long non-coding RNA from Oncorhynchus gorbuscha (pink salmon), 2478 nucleotides. RefSeq lists it as uncharacterized. The record is from RefSeq and is a predicted model, not a curated record. NCBI's taxonomy places the organism in Eukaryota, Metazoa, Chordata, Actinopteri, Salmoniformes, Salmonidae. The transcript has 2 exons.